GACGAACGCUGGCGGCGUGCCUAAUACAUGCAAGUGGGACGCAAGGACACACACUGUGCUUGCACACCGUGUUUUCUUGAGUCGCGAACGGGUGAGUAACGCGUAGGUAACCUGCCUAUUAGCGGGGGAUAACUACUGGAAACGAUAGCUAAUACCGCAUAAUAUUAAUUAUUGCAUGAUAAUUGAUUGAAAGAUGCAAGCGCAUCACUAGUAGAUGGACCGGCGUUGUAUUAGCUAGUUGGUAAGGUAAGAGCUUACCAAGGCGACGAUACAUAGCCGACCUGAGAGGGUGAUCGGCCACACUGGGACUGAGACACGGCCCAGACUCCUACGGGAGGCAGCAGUAGGGAAUCUUCGGCAAUGGACGAAAGUCUGACCGAGCAACGCCGCGGGAGUGAAGAAGGCUUUCGGAUCGUAAAGCUCGGUUGUACGUCAAGAACGUGUGUGGGAGUGGAAAGUUCACACAGUGACGGUAGCUUACCAGAAAGGGACGGCUAACUACGUG
Molecule: ribosomal RNA, 505 nt
Filed under: uncultured bacterium
Lineage: Bacteria
Description: partial 16S ribosomal RNA
Rfam family: Bacterial small subunit ribosomal RNA
Source: RNAcentral